AGCUCAUGAUGAAGGCAUAACCUCAACAUCUCUUUAAAUCACUCUCAUGCUUCGUAGAGGAAUUCUCCAUACUCAUGAAUAAAACUAAUAAUUUGGUUUCUUAGUU
Molecule: small nucleolar RNA, 106 nt
Organism: Lathyrus oleraceus (garden pea)
Lineage: Eukaryota; Viridiplantae; Streptophyta; Magnoliopsida; Fabales; Fabaceae
Source: RefSeq, a predicted model, not a curated record